RNAcentral lists this long non-coding RNA (221 nucleotides) under Setaria viridis. Its description in RNAcentral is "long non-coding RNA (SVIR_LNC009810)". The record is from RNAcentral. Lineage: Eukaryota; Viridiplantae; Streptophyta; Magnoliopsida; Poales; Poaceae.
GAAAUUAAAGUAGUUUGAUUUAGGAUACAAUGAACUGCAAUUUAAAACGAAAACGGAGGGAUUAGCGUGUUAUUGCUACCGUCUCCCUAGCGAGGGAUAAAUAAAAAGAGCAUAAGUUCUUUAGCGGACUUCUUAAAAAAGUACCUUCCUAUGAAGUAAGCUAGCAGGAUUUUUACCGUACAGUAUUUUUUUUUCAUGUUAAUGAUCAAUCUUUUCCUUUU